Molecule: ribosomal RNA, 253 nt
Filed under: uncultured bacterium
Lineage: Bacteria
Description: partial 16S ribosomal RNA
Rfam family: Bacterial small subunit ribosomal RNA
Source: RNAcentral
UACGUAGGCAGCAAGCGUUGUUCGGAAUUACUGGGCGUAAAGCGAGUGUAGGCGGUCUGCCAAGUCUGUUGUGAAAUCUCCUGGCUCAACUGGGAGGGUGCGACGGAAACUGGCAGGCUUGAGUGCGGGAGAGGAGAGUGGAAUUCCUGGUGUAGCGGUGAAAUGCGUAGAUAUCAAGAGGAACACCUGAGGUGAAGACGGGUUGCUGGGCUGACACUGACGCUGAGGCGCGAAAGCUAGGGGAGCAAACGGG